Non-coding RNA from Aedes albopictus (Asian tiger mosquito), 68 nucleotides. Lineage: Eukaryota; Metazoa; Arthropoda; Insecta; Diptera; Culicidae. The record is from Rfam.
UGCCCAGCAGUUCCUAUCCCUACCUCCUCGUGGUACCGACCGGAAACUAUGAGCAACCUUAGGGAAGA